RNAcentral lists this ribosomal RNA (467 nucleotides) under uncultured bacterium. RNAcentral's name for it is "partial 16S ribosomal RNA". It matches the Rfam family "Bacterial small subunit ribosomal RNA", at positions 28 to 507 of the family's 1533-position model. The record is from RNAcentral.
GACGAACGCUGGCGGCGUGCUUAACACAUGCAAGUCGAACGGAAAGGCCUCUUUCGGGGGGUACUCGAGUGGCGAACGGGUGAGUAACACGUGAGUAACCUGCCCUUGACUUUGGGAUAACUUCAGGAAACUGGGGCUAAUACCGGAUAGGAGCUCCUGCUGCAUGGUGGGGGUUGGAAAGUUUCGGCGGUUGGGGAUGGACUCGCGGCUUAUCAGCUUGUUGGUGGGGUAGUGGCUUACCAAGGCUUUGACGGGUAGCCGGCCUGAGAGGGUGACCGGCCACAUUGGGACUGAGAUACGGCCCAGACUCCUACGGGAGGCAGCAGUGGGGAAUAUUGCACAAGGGGUGGAAGCCAGAUGCAGCAACGCCGUGGGCGGGAUGACGGCCUUCGGGUUGUAAACCGCGUUCGCUCAUGACGAAGCUUUGUGUGACGGUAGUGGGUAAAGAAGCACCGGCUAACUACGUG